Dendrobium catenatum is the source of this 107-nucleotide small nucleolar RNA. The record is from RefSeq and is a predicted model, not a curated record. Lineage: Eukaryota; Viridiplantae; Streptophyta; Magnoliopsida; Asparagales; Orchidaceae.
AAUGCAUUAUGUGGACAUUUCUUAAGUAAUUCUUUUAACCUUUCUCGUGUCUUAUAAAUAGGUUCCUCAUCAAAUUGGGUAAAGGAUGUAAUUUCAUUUCUAAGUUU